UUGCGAGUUAUGUAAAACUUGCUCCAUUAAAAUUGAGUUGGAUUAGAUACUCAAUGAGGCUGAAUAUAUUACCAUCUCUGUAUUUUAAAGAUAUCCUUGUGUAUGUUAAUUAUUGAUUUGUUUUGCCUCCCUAGUUUUUCAAACUUCAAAGAGACACUUGGCUCCAGGGAUGCCAACCAAAGGGUAGUUUUUACCGAUGGU
RNAcentral lists this long non-coding RNA (201 nucleotides) under Elaeis guineensis (African oil palm). RNAcentral's name for it is "long non-coding RNA (EGUI_LNC070755)". Lineage: Eukaryota; Viridiplantae; Streptophyta; Magnoliopsida; Arecales; Arecaceae. The record is from RNAcentral.